RNAcentral lists this ribosomal RNA (576 nucleotides) under uncultured bacterium. Its description in RNAcentral is "bacterial SSU rRNA". It matches the Rfam family "Bacterial small subunit ribosomal RNA", at positions 338 to 915 of the family's 1533-position model. The record is from RNAcentral.
CCUACGGGAGGCAGCAGUAAGGAAUAUUGGUCAAUGGACGCAAGUCUGAACCAGCCAUGCCGCGUGAAGGAUUAAGGUCCUCUGGAUUGUAAACUUCUUUUAUCUGGGACGAAAAAAGGCGAUUCUUCGUCACUUGACGGUACCAGAUGAAUAAGCACCGGCUAACUCCGUGCCAGCAGCCGCGGUAAUACGGAGGGUGCAAGCGUUAUCCGGAUUCACUGGGUUUAAAGGGUGCGUAGGCGGGCAGGUAAGUCAGUGGUGAAAUCCUAGAGCUUAACUCUAGAACUGCCAUUGAUACUAUCUGUCUUGAAUAUUGUGGAGGUAAGCGGAAUAUGUCAUGUAGCGGUGAAAUGCUUAGAUAUGACAUAGAACACCCAUUGCGAAGGCAGCUUACUACGCAUAUAUUGACGCUGAGGCACGAAAGCGUGGGGAUCAAACAGGAUUAGAUACCCUGGUAGUCCACGCCCUAAACGAUGAUUACUCGACAUUUGUGAUACACUAUAAGUGUCUGAGCGAAAGCAUUAAGUAAUCCACCUGGAAGUACGACCGCAAGGUUGAAACUUAAAUGAAUUGCGG